AUUGAACGCUGGCGGCAUGCCUUACACAUGCAAGUCGAACGGCAGCACGGGAGCAAUCCUGGUGGCGAGUGGCGAACGGGUGAGUAAUGUAUCGGAACGUGCCUUGUCGUGGGGGAUAACGUAGCGAAAGCUACGCUAAUACCGCAUACCAUCUAAGGAUGAAAGCGGGGGAUCGCAAGACCUCGCGCGACAAGAGUGGCCGAUAUCAGAUUAGGUUGUUGGUGGGGUAAAGGCCUACCAAGCCGACGAUCUGUAGCUGGUCUGAGAGGACGACCAGCCACACUGGGACUGAGACACGGCCCAGACUCCUACGGGAGGCAGCAGUGGGGAAUUUUGGACAAUGGGCGAAAGCCUGAUCCAGCAAUGCCGCGUGCAGGAUGAAGGCCU
This 387-nucleotide ribosomal RNA is filed under the name uncultured bacterium. RNAcentral's name for it is "bacterial SSU rRNA". It matches the Rfam family "Bacterial small subunit ribosomal RNA", at positions 30 to 417 of the family's 1533-position model. The record is from RNAcentral.